AAUGUGCUUGCAUAUAUUUGUAAAAUCAAAGUUACAACAUUAGAAUGUGUUUAUAAAUCGGUGCAUCUGCAUUUGUGGAUUAAAUCAGAAGGCUGUUUCCUGUGCUGUAUUUUUGUUUAUUUUCUCUCGUGUUAAUUUGGAUUUUGAGACUUUCCUUUCGCAUUUCUGCACCUGAUCCACACACAAAUGCUGCUGCCCAUUCACAAAUGUACAAGCAAGCGAACAAGCUGCCGCUAGGGGCCGCUGUUGCUUGGUUUCACUGUGGUUGUGGAUGGCGGUGCUCCGAGCGUCCAGAUAACAGACCUCCCGCCUGCAACAACCAGGCAUCACUCCAGGAGAGCGGCAUGGAGGGUCAACCGUCAUCAUCUUCAAUUGGAAAUUCGACUAAAAAUAUGGUGGAGACUAUGGCUCAGGCCCUAGUUACAGCCCUUUCAAGAGAGCUUUCAUCCAACCUUAACACCUCUGUAACCACACCAGUCAGGCCUCCAUGUCUCUCAGCUAAUACCACCGUGCCCACUACUAACACCACUACCUCCCUAUCCAGCAAUGAGAGCAUUGCCAGUUCCACUUCUAGAAUCAACCAGGCUUUAAAGAGGCAAUUUCCUAAUAUGUUUAAUUUAAAAACAGAAGCAAAAAGGGGUAAAGGCCGGUUUUGUAGCUCCUCCCGGACCACAUCAUCCAAGCAUAUUGACCUCACAGUAUAUGUCCUGCCAUCCCCUUCUUCUGUGACACCUAAGGCUUCAAAAGAACUAGAACUUGCCUGUGCAGGUUUAGGGAAAAGGGUGGUUUCAGUUCCAGACAACUUCAGUUAUAAAGAGAUUGUUACACUGUUGGAGGAGGAGUUCCUUAAACAUCGCCCACUUCAAGGACGGUGGAUGUUCUACAAAGCAACAGGAGGAAGUGGCCAAAGGAAACUUUCAAUAAUUCCAAUGGACACAGAAGGCUAUUCUGGUCGGCAGCUCCGAUCGGUUUCAAACAGUGGCAAAAAUAUUUUGUUUUUGGCUCCCCUACAAGAGGAGAUGGAUACUGAGCCUCUUCCAUAUGAUGCAGCAGAAUUUGCAAAAAUGCCAAAGGUUGCAUUUCUGUAAAAGCAUCAUGCCACUGCAAAUGCUGGCUCUACAUGCCGAAGAAUGUCAACAAACAACAAAUGAUCAGACUGAUGUUGUUAUUGUGGAGGACAGUGACAUGCAUGGGACCUCAGAAGAGCCGGGGGAUAAUUCCACAGAAACGGAGCUUCCAAAUGAGGUAAUAUUUUGGAAUUAUUCUUGUUGUUUAUUUGAAUGUUUUUUCAUUGUCAAUGUCUCUUGUGUGUCUUUUCAUGUCCUAUAUGCCAGAAGGAGUUCUCUAUAUCAAUACUACCUUACCAUGGCAGUGUUUGUGCAGAAAGUUCUUUUACUGACAACACGGAAUACCCAGGACCAUCAUCUGCAGCUCCUUCACCUUCUCCUUCAGAAACUCUUACAGGUCAAAGAGUAGAUUGGGAUGCUGCAAUUGGUUCUGGAGUUACAAGACAUAUCCUGUCAUCUGCCAUCACCAAAUUAAAACAUGGACUUAAACUUAAUUUGGGGAAUGCAGCAGAAACUGCAAUGUUUGAAGGAGAAAUUGACCACCUUGUCCCUAACACAUCAGCAGUAAUGGUUGAGAGCGAGCUUUUUCUCAUGGCUGGUAGGAUGAUCGCUCACUCAAUCAUUAAUAAUGGUCCUACCCUGUCCGGGCUCAGCCUUGCAGUAGUAAAUGCUUUAACAGGAGGGACUAAAGAAACAGCAACAUCGAACCUCAGCCUAGAAGACUGCUCUGACUUAGACCACAGAGAGACCAUUCGUCUGCUACUGAAGAAGAAUGGACUGAAGAUGAGGCCUCAAGAGUGACCAACUUAUGUUUGGAGUUGUCUUACCCAGUUCCUACAAAGGAGACAAACAGACUGCUACUGUUCCAACAGUUACUCUCCCACACUGUCCUUGGUCAAGUUAAGGCACAAAUUAAGCAGCUAAGGAAGGAAUUGAAGGAGACUGGCAUUUGGCAUCUCAUUACCUGUAGGCCUGAUGUGGUGCCCCUUUUGUUUCCCAGAGAGUCAGAUGUUGAACUAACCUCUCAGAUGGUACAACAUUUAAUUCAGUGACCUCAGGCAAAACAAAAUCAUAACAGUGAAGACAGCGAUGAUGAUACGGGGACAGAGACGCUGACUCUUAUUCAGGGUUUUUCCGAACCUUUGUUGAAGAAGCAUCCUCAGAAGAUUUACAGCAGCUUAUGAGGUUCUGGACGGGUUGGGAAAUGCCAUGCCACAGGCUCAAACUGGAAGUAGUGCAGUCUACAGGAC
RNA transcript from Astyanax mexicanus (Mexican tetra), 2317 nucleotides. RefSeq lists it as uncharacterized. The transcript has 13 exons. The record is from RefSeq and is a predicted model, not a curated record. NCBI's taxonomy places the organism in Eukaryota, Metazoa, Chordata, Actinopteri, Characiformes, Acestrorhamphidae.